This 70-nucleotide transfer RNA is filed under the name Gymnura australis (Australian butterfly ray). RNAcentral's name for it is "tRNA-His". It matches the Rfam family "tRNA". Rfam says of the family: Transfer RNA (tRNA) molecules are approximately 80 nucleotides in length. Their secondary structure includes four short double-helical elements and three loops (D, anti-codon, and T loops). The record is from RNAcentral. Lineage: Eukaryota; Metazoa; Chordata; Chondrichthyes; Myliobatiformes; Gymnuridae.
GUAGUUGUAGUUUAAUUAAAACAUUAGAUUGUGGUUCUAAAAAUAAAAGUUAAAUCCCUUUCAACUACCC